This 802-nucleotide ribosomal RNA is filed under the name Lactobacillus sp. DL-DW. RNAcentral describes it as "bacterial SSU rRNA". It matches the Rfam family "Bacterial small subunit ribosomal RNA", at positions 48 to 822 of the family's 1533-position model. The record is from RNAcentral. Lineage: Bacteria; Bacillati; Bacillota; Bacilli; Lactobacillales; Lactobacillaceae.
CCUAUACAUGCAGUCGUACGCUUCUUUUUCCACCGGAGCUUGCUCCACCGGAAAAAGAAGAGUGGCGAACGGGUGAGUAACACGUGGGUAACCUGCCCAUCAGAAGGGGAUAACACUUGGAAACAGGUGCUAAUACCGUAUAACAAUCGAAACCGCAUGGUUUUGAUUUGAAAGGCGCUUUCGGGUGUCGCUGAUGGAUGGACCCGCGGUGCAUUAGCUAGUUGGUGAGGUAACGGCUCACCAAGGCCACGAUGCAUAGCCGACCUGAGAGGGUGAUCGGCCACAUUGGGACUGAGACACGGCCCAAACUCCUACGGGAGGCAGCAGUAGGGAAUCUUCGGCAAUGGACGAAAGUCUGACCGAGCAACGCCGCGUGAGUGAAGAAGGUUUUCGGAUCGUAAAACUCUGUUGUUAGAGAAGAACAAGGAUGAGAGUAACUGUUCAUCCCUUGACGGUAUCUAACCAGAAAGCCACGGCUAACUACGUGCCAGCAGCCGCGGUAAUACGUAGGUGGCAAGCGUUGUCCGGAUUUAUUGGGCGUAAAGCGAGCGCAGGCGGUUUCUUAAGUCUGAUGUGAAAGCCCCCGGCUCAACCGGGGAGGGUCAUUGGAAACUGGGAGACUUGAGUGCAGAAGAGGAGAGUGGAAUUCCAUGUGUAGCGGUGAAAUGCGUAGAUAUAUGGAGGAACACCAGUGGCGAAGGCGGCUCUCUGGUCUGUAACUGACGCUGAGGCUCGAAAGCGUGGGGAGCAAACAGGAUUAGAUACCCUGGUAGUCCACGCCGUAAACGAUGAGUGCUAAGUG